Molecule: non-coding RNA, 910 nt
Organism: Chiloscyllium plagiosum (whitespotted bambooshark)
Lineage: Eukaryota; Metazoa; Chordata; Chondrichthyes; Orectolobiformes; Hemiscylliidae
Source: RefSeq, a predicted model, not a curated record
GGUUGUGGAGAAAGUCACCAGUCUCAGAGUCAGAAUUGGGAUUCAAGAACAGAGUUUAUUGGACAAAGAAACUGGAGCUCGAGGGAGAGAGAGACUUCAGCUGUCACAUUCAAGCAUACCUGCUCGCUGCAGGUGCAGAUGACAGAAAGCAAGUAAGAUGCGAUUUUUGACUUUGAUGAGACUUACUUUGGAGCCAAGGCGGGGCAGAUAUCAGAUUGGAGGUUUCAAGCAUGAUAUUCUGGAAAAGGAAAAUCCACUGUAAUAAUCUCUCCUGCAUCUGAUAGGGGUUGAAGCAAUAUCUGCCAAAAUGAAGGAAGAAGGAUAUUGCUGCAGUUGAGCCUUUCUAAAGCACUGAAUCAGUGCCAAUUGUUGUAACAGACCCCUCAUGUGAGGCACAGCUUUGACAACUGUAUGCAAAGAGCACAUCUUGGAUUCUAGAGUUCAGAGCUAACCACUAGCCUAUUUAGCAGCAAUAUUGUAGACUGAAAGCUAUUUAAUAUUAUCGACAACUUCCAUUGGCCUGUAAAGUAGAAAAUAUAAGGUAUUAGACAGAUUUUGAUUCUGCACAUUACAAAUGCAUUCAAAGUUUAUUGCUAGAUGUAUUGCAAACCAAGACACAUAACACAGCAAUCCAACAGUACAUCUUCCAGUUUGAUUAGUUUCUUUUUAAAAAGUAGAUAAUCCAUUAAAUCCAUUUGAACCAAGAGAUCUCGAGGGCAUUGAUUAUUUAAAGAUAUUAUUUAAGGCUCAAAUGCUUGCAGUGUUCAAUGUACCCUAAAUAUUAGCAUCACCUCUUGCUUUGUAUCCUUGAUUUUUGGGGAAUUGCCGAACCACAGAUGAGUGGAGUCACAAGUAGAUAGGAAGUGAAGAAGGUGUUUGGUGUGCUUGCUUUAUUGGUCAGUGCAUUGAG